RNAcentral lists this non-coding RNA (148 nucleotides) under Chlorocebus sabaeus (green monkey). The record is from Rfam by way of RNAcentral. Lineage: Eukaryota; Metazoa; Chordata; Mammalia; Primates; Cercopithecidae.
GCCAGGCAUGGUGGCGGGUGCCUGUAAUCCCAGUUACUGCGGAGGCUGAAGCAGGAGAAUCACUUGAGCCUGGGAGGUGAAGGUUGCAGUGAGUUGAGAUCCCACCACUGCACUCCAGCCUGGGCGACAAAGUGAGACCCUGUCUCAA